UGCAUUCACUACUGUAAGUCGCUCUGGAUAAGAGUGUCUGCUAAAUGACUAGAA
Salmo salar (Atlantic salmon) is the source of this 54-nucleotide non-coding RNA. NCBI's taxonomy places the organism in Eukaryota, Metazoa, Chordata, Actinopteri, Salmoniformes, Salmonidae. The record is from Rfam.